UAGAAGCUUGCUUCUAUGACGUUAGCGGCGGACGGGUGAGUAACACGUGGGCAACCUGCCUGUAAGACUGGGAUAACUUCGGGAAACCGAAGCUAAUACCGGAUAGGAUCUUCUCCUUCAUGGGAGAUGAUUGAAAGAUGGUUUCGGCUAUCACUUACAGAUGGGCCCGCGGUGCAUUAGCUAGUUGGUGAGGUAACGGCUCACCAAGGCAACGAUGCAUAGCCGACCUGAGAGGGUGAUCGGCCACACUGGGACUGAGACACGGCCCAGACUCCUACGGGAGGCAGCAGUAGGGAAUCUUCCGCAAUGGACGAAAGUCUGACGGAGCAACGCCGCGUGAGUGAUGAAGGCUUUCGGGUCGUAAAACUCUGUUGUUAGGGAAGAACAAGUACGAGAGUAACUGCUCGUACCUUGACGGUACCUAACCAGAAAGCCACGGCUAACUACGUGCCAGCAGCCGCGGUAAUACGUAGGUGGCAAGCGUUAUCCGGAAUUAUUGGGCGUAAAGCGCGCGCAGGCGGUUUCUUAAGUCUGAUGUGAAAGCCCACGGCUCAACCGUGGAGGGUCAUUGGAAACUGGGGAACUUGAGUGCAGAAGAGA
RNAcentral lists this ribosomal RNA (600 nucleotides) under uncultured bacterium. Its description in RNAcentral is "bacterial SSU rRNA". It matches the Rfam family "Bacterial small subunit ribosomal RNA", at positions 73 to 657 of the family's 1533-position model. The record is from RNAcentral.